Molecule: unclassified non-coding RNA, 2703 nt
Filed under: uncultured fungus
Lineage: Eukaryota; Fungi
Description: sequence contains 18S rRNA gene, ITS1, 5.8S rRNA gene, ITS2, 28S rRNA gene
Rfam family: Eukaryotic large subunit ribosomal RNA (bases 1725-2703)
Source: RNAcentral
GGAAGGAUCAUUACUGAAGACCGGGACCCUCCUGUAGUAGACCAUUCAACGGCCUGCCGUCGGAAUUUGAUGAUAAUCAACUCGGCUCGUUGCCCAACAUCAGGGAGUGGUUUUGAGAUUCUCACCACCACCUUAGCACGUUGCUCCGUGCACCUGAUGGGUGCUUCUUGAUCCUUGAUGCUCAUUUACCAGGUUGGAUUGACCAGGCUCAUCCCUUUGCAUCUACCCGCGGUGGACCUGUGUCUAUGGGUGCUCAUUGAUCCCCGAAGCUCGUUUACCGGGUUGGUUAGGCUUAGGCUGUUGCGGCAGGCCUUUGGUCUCCUAUGCUCUUCUUAACACAAAACCUGUCGUCGUAUGGUGUUGCACUUAAACAUGUAAUAUAACUUUUCAACAACGGAUCUCUUGGCUCUCGCAUCGAUGAAGAACGCAGCGAAAUGCGAUAAGUAGUGUGAAUUGCAGAAUUCAGUGAAUCAUCGAAUCUUUGAACGCACCUUGCGCUCCUUGGCAUUCCGAGGAGCAUGCCUGUUUGAGCGUCGUUGAAUUCUCAGGAUCCCUACCAUAGCCAGUCUUUCUUGAGGGAAGGGGACGUAGUUUGACACCAUUGGGUGUGGCUGUCCUGCUGAUGGGGUGAGCUGCAAUGCGGCCGGUGCCCCCUUUCCCUUUGUUGGGGACCAUUGCGUUGACCUUUGCUGGGGAUGAAAUCGACCUGCUCUUGACUGGUUGAUUUGCACCAUCCACCUCUCUCGGGGGGUGCGCAUCUCUUCUCUGUGCGGAUGAAGAGAAGCCAGUGUUCCGCAAGGACGCCAGCAGAGGGCCCCACCUUUGGUCUACUUCCUUGAAAGAUUGGCAGAGGAGGUAGUAACUGGCACCAAACAAGUUUUCGCCCGAUAUUCUUGUUUUCCCAAGAAGCCAGUUAGUUACAUGCUGGUGGUUGGUGGGGCUGGUCUACAACUUCCCGUCAGGUGGGGGUGUGGAUUGUGGAGGAUGCAUUGCUGCCUCAACUGGGGCGUCUUUGCUUCUCUGAAAUGGAUUGCCGUUACGGCUGCGUUCAAUUCUCAGAAUCCUAUCUGAUCUUUGUUGAGGAAAGGGGAGGUAGUAAGACACCGUCAAGAUGUAUCUGUAUCCCAGGAUCGGCUGCACCUUGAUGGCAGUGGCUGAGCUUGGCUUGGCCUCGCUUACUAUCAGGCAGCCACCUUCCUCAUAAUUGCAAGGAUUGGGGAUGGCUGUAGUAGACAUGGUCUUGGCAUUAAUGGCUGCGUUGAAUUCUAACCCCACGUGUAGUCUCAUUCUUGAGGGAAGGGGAGGUAGUUUGACCCUGUCAGGACUACCAUGCGGCCCGAAAAGUUUUGGGAGUGGCUGUAGUAGGACUGGCCUGUCAUCGUGAGAGGAUGGCACAGGGCAGAGAGACGCUGCCUGGCCUUACUAUGGUCACUCACGUGGGUGGAGGAUGCACUGUCCCCUUUGCUUCUCCGAAACGCAUUGCCUAGAGCAGCACUGCGAGGAUGACAUUGCUCGCUCCUCUGAUAUGCCAUGCCCUUAGGGGUCUGGGUUGAGGAGGCGCUUCUCUGAUACCCAUGCCCUAAGGGGUCUGGGUUGAGGAGGAUGUUGUUGCUCGCAGUGCCAUCAAGGCUCUGGCCACGAACCUGUUGCCGGUAUGAUACACACGUCUUACCUGCUUCUGACCCGUGCCGGCCAUGACACACGAGACACAGUCUCAAACGAUUUGACCUCAAAUCAGGCAGGACUACCCGCUGAACUUAAGCAUAUCAAUAAGCGGAGGAAAAGAAACUAACAAGGAUUCCCCUAGUAACUGCGAGUGAAGCGGGAAGAGCUCAAAUUUAAAAUCUGGCGGCCUCUGGCCGUCCGAGUUGUAAGCUAGAGAAGCGCCGUCCGCGCUGGGGCCGUGUACAAGUCUCCUGGAACGGAGCGUCGUGGAGGGUGAGAACCCCGUCUCUGACACGGACCUCCCAGGGCAUCGCGAGGGCGCCCUCAAAGAGUCGAGUUGUUUGGGAAUGCAGCUCCAAAUGGGUGGUAAACUCCAUCUAAAGCUAAACAUUGGCGAGAGACCGAUAGCGAACAAGUACCGUGAGGGAAAGAUGAAAAGAACUUUGGAAAGAGAGUUAAACAGUACGUGAAAUUGUUGAAAGGGAAACGCUUGAAGUCAGUCGCGUCGGCCUGGGAUCAGCCCCGCAACCGCGAGGCGCACUCCCCGGUCGACGGGUCAGCACCAGUUUCGGCCGUUGGAGAAGGGUCGGGGGAAUGUGGCAUCCUCGGAUGAGCUUACAGCCCCCGAUCGCAUGCAUCGGUCGGGAUUGAGGAACUCGGCGCGCCGCAAGGCCGGGUCUUCGGACCACGCCCGCGCCCAGGAUGCUGGCACAAUGGCUUUAAUCGACCCGUCUUGAAACACGGACCAAGGAGUCUAACGUGCCUGCGAGUGUUUGGGUGGAAAACCCACGCGCGCAAUGAAAGUGAAAGUUGAGAUCCCCGUCGUGGGGAGCAUCGACGCCCGGACCAGACCUGCUGUGACGGAUCCACGGUGGAGCAUGCAUGUUGGGACCCGAAAGAUGGUGAACUAUGCCUGAAUAGGGCGAAGCCAGAGGAAACUCUGGUGGAGGCUCGUAGCGAUUCUGACGUGCAAAUCGAUCGUCGAAUUUGGGUAUAGGGGCGAAAGACUAAUCGAACCAUCUAGUAGCUGGUUCCUGC